Molecule: long non-coding RNA, 801 nt
Organism: Mustela lutreola (European mink)
Lineage: Eukaryota; Metazoa; Chordata; Mammalia; Carnivora; Mustelidae
Exons: 2
Source: RefSeq, a predicted model, not a curated record
AGCGCCCACCGCCCGCUUUCUGGCCCGCGUUGCGCCGCGGGCACGGAUGCGAGCGAGCACACGCGCGCGCGCGCGCACACACACACACACACGCGCGAGUUACACAAACCAGGGGUGAGCGCGCGAGGACUCUGUGGACCCACUGAGACUUGUAUGCAAAUGGAGCGCUUUGCCUCUCCCUGGCUUGUGCACAAACUUGCAAACACACAUUGCACUUUCGAGUUGGUCCAAACCCCCAUCCCAGGGAAGGCUAAUAAAUAUGGGUGUGCGUGUGUGCCUUCCCGGCUCCAGUCCCUUGGGAGCUGGGGAGCGGCUGAUUUGUUGGGGUAGCGGGAUCUUCCGCGAUGGCUCAAGGUCUCCACAUCCCCUGCGCAGUCAGGGGUCGCUCUGCUGGGCCAAACGGAGGGCGUGGGACGCUUGGCGCAUGGGGGCUCCAGGCUUGCGCGAGAGCCAGGUACUGCUGGCGCCGUGCUCUCGGGGAGAGUUGGUGGUUCUCUAGAAAGGAGCUUCCUCACCCCCAUCCCCUGCUGCUUUGACCAAAUCAAAAUCGCUGUCAGCUUCUUGUUUGAAAAAUGGAGAUGACGAUCUUCGCAGGACCGUGAAGAUCCUGGGAGAUACUGCACUUUAAGCGCACAAAGCCAAGUGAACAGCAAGAUGAAAUUUCCCAAGUGAAUACAGCACUUUCGUAACCAGCACCUAGAAGCUCCUCUCGUGGUCCCUUUCAGUCAUUUCUCACCCCUGGUGGGAGGUGGGGGUUGGAUACAAAAAGAAACUCAAUGCAAUGUAAAAUAUUUCCUUUUA